Molecule: ribosomal RNA, 165 nt
Filed under: Lecanorales sp.
Lineage: Eukaryota; Fungi; Ascomycota; Lecanoromycetes; Lecanorales
Description: partial large subunit ribosomal RNA
Rfam family: Eukaryotic large subunit ribosomal RNA
Source: RNAcentral
CGGCAACAGCUCAAAUUUGAAAUCUGGCUCUUUCAGGGUCCGAGUUGUAAUUUGUAGAGGAUGUUUCGGAUGCAGUGAUGGUUUAAAUUCCUUGGAACAGGAUGUCAUAGAGGGUGAGAAUCCCGUCUACAGCUAUCAACUAAAUCCAUGUGAAACUCCUUCGAU